RNAcentral lists this ribosomal RNA (467 nucleotides) under uncultured bacterium. RNAcentral's name for it is "partial 16S ribosomal RNA". It matches the Rfam family "Bacterial small subunit ribosomal RNA", at positions 28 to 506 of the family's 1533-position model. The record is from RNAcentral.
GACGAACGCUGGCGGCGUGCUUAACACAUGCAAGUCGAACGGAAAGGCCCUGCUUUUGUGGGGUGCUCGAGUGGCGAACGGGUGAGUAACACGUGAGUAACCUGCCCUUGACUUUGGGAUAACUUCAGGAAACUGGGGCUAAUACCGGAUAGGAGCUCCUGCUGCAUGGUGGGGGUUGGAAAGUUUCGGCGGUUGGGGAUGGACUCGCGGCUUAUCAGCUUGUUGGUGGGGUAGUGGCUUACCAAGGCUUUGACGGGUAGCCGGCCUGAGAGGGUGACCGGCCACAUUGGGACUGAGAUACGGCCCAGACUCCUACGGGAGGCAGGAGUGGGGAAUAUUGCACAAUGGGCGGAAGCCUGAGGCAGCAACGCCGGGUGCGGGAUGACGGCCUUCGGGUUGUAAACCGCUUUCGCCUGUGACGAAGCGUGAGUGACGGUAAUGGGGAAAGAAGCACCGGCUAACUACGU